GGGGUGGUGGCUCUGUGGUAGAGCACUGGCCUAGCAAGUGAGAGACACUGGGUUCAAUCCUCAGCACCCCA
RNAcentral lists this transfer RNA (71 nucleotides) under Ictidomys tridecemlineatus (thirteen-lined ground squirrel). RNAcentral's name for it is "Spermophilus tridecemlineatus (thirteen-lined ground squirrel) tRNA". It matches the Rfam family "tRNA". From Rfam's summary of the family: Transfer RNA (tRNA) molecules are approximately 80 nucleotides in length. Their secondary structure includes four short double-helical elements and three loops (D, anti-codon, and T loops). Further hydrogen bonds mediate the characteristic L-shaped molecular structure. tRNAs have two regions of fundamental functional importance: the anti-codon, which is responsible for specific mRNA codon recognition, and the 3' end, to which the tRNAs corresponding amino acid is attached (by aminoacyl-tRNA synthetases). tRNAs cope with the degeneracy of the genetic code in two manners: having more than one tRNA (with a specific anti-codon) for a particular amino acid; and 'wobble' base-pairing, i.e. permitting non-standard base-pairing at the 3rd anti-codon position. The record is from Rfam by way of RNAcentral. Lineage: Eukaryota; Metazoa; Chordata; Mammalia; Rodentia; Sciuridae.